This 490-nucleotide ribosomal RNA is filed under the name uncultured bacterium. RNAcentral's name for it is "partial 16S ribosomal RNA". It matches the Rfam family "Bacterial small subunit ribosomal RNA", at positions 29 to 506 of the family's 1533-position model. The record is from RNAcentral.
GUGAACGCUGGCGGUAGGCCUAACACAUGCAAGUCGAACGGCAGCACAGUAAGAGCUUGCUCUUACGGGUGGCGAGUGGCGGACGGGCGAGGAAUACAUCGGAAUCUACUUUUUCGUGGGGGAUAACGUAGGGAAACUUACGCUAAUACCGCAUACGACCUACGGGUGAAAGCAGGGGAUCUUCGGACCUUGCGCGAUUGAAUGAGCCGAUGUCGGAUUAGCUAGUUGGCGGGGUAAAGGCCCACCAAGGCGACGAUCCGUAGCUGGUCUGAGAGGAUGAUCAGCCACACUGGAACUGAGACACGGUCCAGACUCCUACGGGAGGCAGCAGUGGGGAAUAUUGGACAAUGGGCGCAAGCCUGAUCCAGCCAUACCGCGUGGGUGAAGAAGGCCUUCGGGUUGUAAAGCCCUUUUGUUGGGAAAGAAAAGCAGCAGGUUAAUACCCCGCUGUUCUGACGGUACCCAAAGAAUAAGCACCGGCUAACUUCGU